UUUUUUUUUGUUACCACUAUAUGACUGGGCUGCAAAAGAUUUUAAUUUUGAGUUUUUAUCUGAAUUAUUUCAGGUAUUUAGCUUACUGUAGAGUUUCACUAAUGGUUGACAAAGCAGAGAAGACAUUAUCUUGUUACGUGGAUGGAGGAAUUAAUGUCCAGCUGUUCUUAAAAUGGCUUUUACAUCAGAGAAAACACACGGUUGAAUGAUAUCCUUUGGUACCACAUAUGAAAAAAGAUGCAAGGAAAAUGAGAUACAUUCCAACAUUGGUUUCCCAGUGCACAUUUCAAAGCAUGUUGGUGUACUGACACAGACAGGAUUAUUUCACUCAUGAGGUAGUUGAAACUUGAUUUUUGUUCAUGCAAACAACCAACAUGUAAAACAGAAUUGGCAGUUAAAAGUGGAUUAGAUAGGUGAGCAGAAAAAAUGAUCUCAUUUAAAAUCUUUUCUUGGAACAAAACAUCAGACAAUUCACUUGUUCCAUGCAGUGACUGGGAAAGACUAAAGGUGAUAUCUACAGUGCCAUGAGUCAAAGGAAGGACUAUGACAAUAAAUACUUUUUUUUCCAUAAUACCUACAAAACUGAGCUCUUGUUGACAAGCUCUCAUAGUUCAUUCUUGCAGUGAUCAAAGUGACAGUGUUUUAAAGAUAUGAUCCUGAAUAUUUUCACUUGGAAUGUACAAUAGGAGAUAUGUCAACUAACUCUAUAGGAAUAUUUCAGCAGAUCUCAGAUGGAUUUUUGAAUGAGACAGUCUGUGUAAUGAAAAAGUUUUGAAAUUUUAGUGCUAUAAGAGGAAAAAGAAAGUUUUUUAUUAUUUAAAUCCUUUUUUUAACUAAAAUGAAAUCCCUAGAACAAGUUUAACUAUUCAAUGUUUAACAGAACAAUAGAGGGGAUAGCUAUGAGACUUUUGUAUGAAUUUUGAUAGAGAUUAUAAACUGGUUCCAUUGUGGGACAUCUUAACAUUAUGUAGAUAUCAGUCUAAUUUUUUUAGGGAUGUGUCAUAUUUCUCCAAGAGACUAGCUUCCCUUCAAGAAGGGGUUGCCAAAAUGCAAGGAAGUAUUAGUAUAAUAAAGAAGAUGUUUUGAAAAAAAUCAGAAUAACAGAUAUGAUAAAGGAAUAACAAAAUACAUUUUCAUCUAUGAAGCUAGCCAAACAAAAGGGAGGACUUCGGAUACUAAAAUAUUUUUAAGUGUAAAGAAAUAUAACAAGAAUGAGACAAACAUUAUCCAACAAGCAUAUUUUUGUUUCCUUAGUGGAAAAUUUCUGAGUUAUCUACUGUAAAAAGUGCUU
This 1291-nucleotide long non-coding RNA is filed under the name Taeniopygia guttata (zebra finch). RNAcentral's name for it is "lncRNA (ENSTGUG00000019665.1)". Lineage: Eukaryota; Metazoa; Chordata; Aves; Passeriformes; Estrildidae. The record is from RNAcentral.